AACAGCUCAAAUUUGAAAUCUGGCCCCCGGCCCGAGUUGUAAUUUGUAGAGGAUGUUUCGGACAAGCACCGGUCUAAGUCUCCUGGAACGGAGCGUCAUAGAGGGUGAGAAUCCCGUAUGUGACCGGCCAGCGAGUCCAUGUGAAUCUCCUUCGACGAGUCGAGUUGUUUGGGAAUGCAGCUCAAAAUUGGAGGUAAAUGCCUUCUAAAGCUAAAUACUGGCUAGAGACCGAUAGCGCACAAGUAGAGUGAUCGAAAGAUGAAAAGCACUUUGAAAAGAGAGUUAAAAAGUACGUGAAAUUGUUGAAAGGGAAGCGCCUGCAAUCAGACUUGCCCCGGAGUAUUCAGCCUUUGGUGUAUUUACCCCGGGUCAGGCCAAUAUCGAUUUAGGUGGCCGAACAAAGGCUCAGGGAACGUAGCUCCUCUCGGGGAGUGUUAUAGCCCGGGCGUAAUGCGGCCCACCUGGAUCGAGGACAGCGUUCGCUAGGAUAUUGGCGUAAUGGUUGCUGGCGACCCGUCUUGAAACACGGACCAAGGAGUCGACCAACUAUGCGAGUGUUUGGGUGUCAAACCCAUGCGCGUAAUGAAAGUGAACGGAGGUGGGAACCCUCGGGUGCACCAUCGUCCGAUCCUGAUGUCUUCGGAUGGAUUUGAGAAAGAGCACAGUUGGUCGGACCCGAAAGAUGGUGAACUAUGCCUAAACAGGGCGAAGCCAGAGGAAACUCUGGUGGAGGCUCGCAGCGGUUCUGACGUGCAAAUCGAUCGUCAAAUUUGGGUAUAGGGGCGAAAGACUAAUCGAACCAUCUAGUAGCUG
This 813-nucleotide ribosomal RNA is filed under the name Micarea incrassata. Its description in RNAcentral is "LSU rRNA". It matches the Rfam family "Eukaryotic large subunit ribosomal RNA", at positions 103 to 953 of the family's 3401-position model. Lineage: Eukaryota; Fungi; Ascomycota; Lecanoromycetes; Lecanorales; Micareaceae. The record is from RNAcentral.